AGCAGUAGCCGCGGUAAUACAGAGGGUGCGAGCGUUAAUCGGAUUUUCUGGGCGUAAAGCGUGCGUAGGCGGCUUCUUAAGUCGGAUGUGAAAUCCCUGAGCUUAACUUAGGAAUUGCAUUCGAUACUGGGAAGCUAGAGUAUGGGAGAGGAUGGUAGAAUUCCAGGUGUAGCGGUGAAAUGCGUAGAGAUCUGGAGGAAUACCGAUGGCGAAGGCAGCCAUCUGGCCUAAUACUGACGCUGAGGUACGAAAGCAUGGGGAGCAAACAGGAUUAGAUACCCCCGUAGUCCCUGUCUCUUAUAC
RNAcentral lists this ribosomal RNA (303 nucleotides) under uncultured bacterium. Its description in RNAcentral is "partial 16S ribosomal RNA". It matches the Rfam family "Bacterial small subunit ribosomal RNA", at positions 507 to 807 of the family's 1533-position model. The record is from RNAcentral.